GCCGGGAGGGGGCUCCGCCAGCCGGGGGUGCUGAUCCGGCCGCCGCGUCCCUUACCCAUCCCUCCCCGCCCAUGGGCGAGACAUGGACUACGAGUUCAAGUCGAAGCUGGCGGCCGAGCGCGAGCGGGUGGAGGACCUGUUCGAGUACGAGGGCUGCAAAGUGGGCAGAGGCACCUACGGGCACGUCUACAAGGCCCGCCGCAAGGACGGAAAAGAUGAAAAGGAGUAUGCACUGAAGCAAAUUGAAGGUACAGGGAUAUCCAUGUCGGCCUGUAGAGAGAUUGCACUUUUACGAGAGUUGAAGCACCCUAAUGUGAUUGCAUUGCAGAAGGUUUUCCUUUCUCACAGUGACAGAAAGGUUUGGCUGCUGUUUGAUUAUGCUGAACAUGAUUUGUGGCAUAUUAUCAAGUUUCACCGUGCCUCAAAAGCAAAUAAAAAGCCCAUGCAGUUGCCAAGAUCUAUGGUUAAAUCCCUACUCUACCAGAUCCUCGAUGGAAUCCAUUACCUCCAUGCAAACUGGGUGCUUCACAGAGAUCUUAAACCAGCAAACAUUCUGGUAAUGGGUGAAGGUCCCGAAAGAGGAAGAGUCAAAAUAGCUGAUAUGGGUUUUGCAAGAUUGUUCAACUCACCUUUGAAGCCAUUGGCAGACUUGGAUCCAGUUGUGGUGACAUUCUGGUACAGAGCUCCGGAGCUGUUACUUGGAGCCAGACAUUACACAAAGGCCAUUGAUAUUUGGGCAAUUGGUUGCAUAUUUGCUGAACUAUUGACUUCGGAACCUAUAUUUCACUGUCGCCAGGAGGACAUCAAAACAAGUAACCCUUUUCAUCAUGAUCAGCUAGAUCGCAUUUUCAGUGUAAUGGGAUUCCCUGCAGAUAAAGAUUGGGAAGACAUAAGGAAGAUGCCAGAAUAUCCAACUCUUCAGAAAGAUUUUAGGAGAACAACAUAUGCCAAUAGUAGCCUCAUAAAAUACAUGGAGAAACACAAAGUCAAGCCUGACAGCAAAGUUUUUCUUUUGCUUCAGAAGCUUCUUACUAUGGACCCUACAAAGAGAAUUACCUCAGAGCAGGCUUUGCAGGACCCCUACUUUCAAGAGGAUCCUCUGCCUACAUCAGAUGUUUACUGUGUUUCAGUGUAUUUGCUGGCUGUCAGAUUCCAUAUCCUAAAAGAGAAUUCCUCAAUGAAGAUGAACCUGAAGAGAAAGGGGAUAAGAAUCAACAGCAGCAGAAUCAACAUCAGCAGCAAACAGCACCUCAGCAGCAGCCGCAGGCAGCGCCGCAGCAGCCGCAGCCGCAGCAGCAGAACAGCACCCAGACCAACGGGACGGCCGGGGGUGCUGGCGCGGGAGGAGGGGGCACGGGCGCAGGGCUCCAGCACAGCCAGGACUCCAGCCUCAACCAGGUGCCUCCGAACAAGAAACCACGCAUAGGGCCUUCAGGCGCUAACUCAGGCGGGCCUGUCAUGCCUUCAGAUUAUCAGCACUCCAGCUCACGCCUGAGUUACCAAAGCAACAUUCAGGGAUCUUCUCAGUCCCAGAGUACAAUGGGCUAUUCCACGUCGUCUCAGCAGAGCUCCCAGUAUCACCAAUCUCACCAGUCUCACAGGUACUGAGAGGGCUAACAGGCUGUACUCAGAAAGGAACGGACUAAAAGCCAGAAGACUCCAGCAAUAUGAAGUUCAUAACGAUGAGAAGAACCAAAAAUACAAACUAUGAUGCAGAAUUAAAAUUCACAAUGACAAAAGGAAAACUUCACUCACUGAAGACUUCCCGCCCCCCGUCCCUUUAUUGCCAUAAAGGAGAUUCUCGUGAAGUUUUCCUUCCUCUCUCCCCUUGCAUGUGCUCCAUUGUGGUUACUCUAAUGAACCCUUCUGAUCUGAACCCAGCACUUAACUUCUUUAACCUUUGGAAUUUUGAAGGAUUCCUGGUGCACCUUCCUUAUGCUGUAGUGAUUGCCAUAAAUCUGUCUUUUCAAUCUCUUUGAUGGGAUUUUAAAGUUUUAAAAUCUUGAACUCCCAGGCUUUCAAGCUUGUAUAUAGUUAGUUUUAUACUAGGCAAGCCAGUUUAGCUAUACAGGUAUAUUGCACCUUUUUAAAGCACUAUGUUAUUUUCACAGGAUAUUACUGUUUUGCUCAUGGAUGUCAAGAACAGCAAAAUUUUACUGUUCCAGAGUAUUUUACUAUUCUGUUUUUAUUAGUCUAGUUUUCAGGCGAGGUCUUAAAAAUAAAAAAUUUAAAAAAGAAAUAAAAUUUAAAAAAGGAAAAAGGAAAAAAGAAAAAAAAACCACCCAAGUCUCUGCAGCGACAAAUAUGCUUCAUGCUACUGGACUGAACGCCAAACAGAAGAUUGCUGAUAUUUCUUAACUCAUUCACAUUGAAUUCUUGAAAUCACAGUGAUCAUGCUCUGACUAGUUUUAAAUUAAGCGUUAUUUUAAAUGAAACCAGGACAGUCACAUAAAAAGGAGAUGCUUCAGGAUCUGUUGGAACAGAAGAAUGGAAUGUCUUCCCAGGCUGGACACCAAAAUAGUCAGGAAAAUGUACUUACUGCCCUCAAGUCUCAGUAGGAAUGUGGAUGGCGGGCUUGUUUUUCUGUUAAGCAGCUGAUUAAUGUAUGUGAGAGUUCUAUAAAUUUAGCUUUCUUUCACAUUCCUGAGUCAGUUUUCUGAAUAUAAAGGUGACAGAAAUACUAAGACUUGCAAAAACGAAUGCAUUUAAUCAUUUUGUGUUAGAAUUAAUACUUAAGAGAAAUUAUUGUGCAGUUUGAAAAGCAUGUUGAAAAUUGUUCGUUUUUCAUGUUUAUAAUGCAUAUUCUGUGUCCCUCACAUUGCUGUGAUUAACCCAGAUUAGUUACACCAGAUGCGCUUGAUUGCACUGAAAUGUUUCUUUUUCCCUAGAGCAAACAUGUUUUGAUUGUGCCUAAGGACUGUAAGUGGAUGGGUAGCUGGCAGAAAAUCCCCAGUAAAUAAGCAAGAGUUCAGAAGCAUAAUCAGAGGAUUAUUGUCCAACUUCUGCAACCACAGUUAUUUGGAGAGACACAACAUAUAAUUUGGGACAGCUUCAUUUUUCCUUCAGCCUUCAGAAAUAAGGCUGGCUCUUGUUGCAGAAAACCUUGAGAAAUGCAUUUAGAAAGCUACUAGCAAUGUAACAUCAGCAAGCUUCUACAACUGGUGUCCAGAGGAGAGGUGAAGUGAGAAGAGUUUAUAUGUAAACGCUUAAUGUUACAGGCUUUUUUUACUGCAGUGUGUUCUCUUCUGUCCUGCAUCCGUACAAAAAAAAUUGUAUAUACCCGUACACAUUCACACUGAAGUUGUGAUCAGACCUAGCAAGAUGAGUAAUCUGUUUGCUCUGAGGAGAAUGCUUUUCAUCACAGCUAGACACAUACAUGUUCCUACUGGAUUUGAUCUCCCAAUCACCUUUAGUGCCCUCUUCCUCCUCAAACCUGUGUUGUUUUCAUACCUUUUGUAAGCAGUUGGCUUGCUUUGGCUGUACCUACCAUCAUGUGGUUUUUGACAACACCCAGCUUCUCUGAAAAAGCAACUAAAACCUGCUUUUGUCAUCAAAUGGGUAAGAAGGUGGUGAAAAUUAAAUGAAGCAAUUUGAAGGAAGAAAUUAUUUCUGAAGAAAAAUAAUCUCCCAAAGGUUACUUUCAAUGUGUAACCCUUGAAAUGCUACAUAUUACACAUACCCUGGUAGCCUGUUUGAAAGAACAGAUUUUAAUUGUUCCUUUAUUUUAUUUCAAUGAGUCUGGGGUUACAUUCUUUCCAUAAGUGGAACGUCUCACCUCUUACUGAUGUUAGGAUGAGGUACCUUUGAGCUAACGGAUAUUUGGCCAAUGCCGUAAAGUAACAUUUAUUUUACAUUUUUGUGACUUCAAUGUCACGUUUCUGGAAAUUAACCUUUGGCAGAGUAAUUUUUGUCCCCUCCUGUUCUUUUCACCCUUCUGUUCUCUCAAAAUCCUUUUGUCUUUUCCAUUAUAGUUAUCUGACAUUUCUUCUCCCUACUAUGACCUGCAAGCUGAUCAUCGAAAUUCAUAUAAUGUCAGGAGGUGGCAGGGAGAUGUAUUGCCAUACGGUUAAUUAAGGUGGGCUCUUGUGCCAAUAAGGCAAAAUCAUGGUGUAGAUUAAUCUGUAUGUAGAGUGUGAAACUUCACAGCAACGUGAGGUGCUUUAAUUGAGUGAGCUUACAGCUUCUAGGGCGACUACCACGACCUCUUUCUAAGCUGAACUGGCAUUUCUGCCUUGGUUAGGUCUGAUAGAUGACGGCACGCCGCUCGUAUCUAGCGUUUGUGCGCACACGCGAAGCCGAGCUGACUUCCUCCAUUGCCUUCAAACGUACAACUGGGAGGAGAGCAAAUAAAAGCAGAAGCCUUUGCUGUGAAACGUAGGCUGUGCGCACUCUUCUAGUUCCUUCCUGGUGGUGAAAUAAUUUGCCUUUUCUUGGGAGCUUGACGCGCGUUGCGCGGGUUGGGCGGCAGUCAUGGUGGAAGAUGCCUUGCUUUCCAGGGGUCAUCCCGUGAGGGAAAAACGCUCCGCUUUCGGAAGUGAAUCGUGCAGUGUGUCCUGGGAAGCCAGGACCAUGUCAUUUUUAUGUUAUUUUUUUUACCCGUGCAGUUUCGUUAGUACUCAUAGCUCUGUCUCUGCCCGUAACCUUUACGCCCUCACCAAAGUGUUUCACGCCGGCAGAGCCGUCUUCUCCAUCCUGGUCGCCCGGUGGGAGAGCGGGCCGCUAAGUACAGCUUUUCCCACCGUAGCGCAGAGGAAACAAACGCGUGGGGAACGAAUGGGAUGAGCAGCCUGGUCCGCAUUGGUGAAGUUUAUGUAGCACAAACUGCACAAUGAAGGAAAAAAUAUAGGGAAAGCUGCGAGUCCUGCACUGUAUCUGUGACACUGUAUCUGGGGAGGGGGAGGGAAGAGCAUUUGUAGCGGGAGGGGUGGCGGGAAGCUAGAAGUGUUCAAAUGUGUAUAAUAUUUUAUAUAAACAUAAUAAGCUUAGUUCCCCUUCAUAAUCUUCAGGAAUGGUACUUUAACACCAUUAAGCAAAGAAUUGUUUUAGGAUUAAAUAAAUGUAUUGUACAUAAGGCCAUACGUAAUCUUCUAAAAAUGUCGCCAGACAGGAGCGAUGUGUAUUACUAUAUGAAAAAAAAAAGUCCUUAAUGCACUGUUAUCUCCUAAAUAUUUAGUAGUAAAUUAAUACUAUUUAAUUUUUUUAAAAAUUUGUCUUGUGUAGACACUAAAAAGUAUUACACAAAAUCUGGACAGAACAUGUCCUUUUUAACAGCAAUUUAAAGAACUUUUUAUAUAUGUAAGGUAGUAACUUUUCAAAUUGUUCUAGUUGUAUUUUCCCAUGUUUACUAUUUGUGGAAGUGUGCCUGUCUCUAUUCAGUUAUUUUUUUCUAAUAAUUUCGUGCACGCAUCUUUCAUUUUUGUAGUUUUCAUUAGAAAUUAUUGUGUAUGCGCCUCAUGCUGCCACAAAACUUUGCCGCUCUAGAUCUGUGGUGGCCACAUUCGGCAGUGCCCAUGCCAGUGGGCUAGCAAAACCACAAAGCAAAAUACUUGUUUCUCAUUCUAGAGCUGAGAGUUUACUGCUUUUAAGUUGUCCUGAUGUCACUCUUGAAAUGACUGUUAAAACUAAACUAUGAGUUCAUUGCAUUUAUUUUAUAUUCUUGGUUGUAAUGAAAUGGAAUUGACUUUGCUUCAGUGUGAAUUUUUUUAAUAAAAUAAUAUACAUUUGUAAUAAUAAUAAAAAGUUCAAAUCAAA
Molecule: RNA transcript, 5751 nt
Organism: Haliaeetus leucocephalus (bald eagle)
Lineage: Eukaryota; Metazoa; Chordata; Aves; Accipitriformes; Accipitridae
Gene: CDK19
Gene name: cyclin-dependent kinase 19
Exons: 13
Source: RefSeq, a predicted model, not a curated record